CAGCAGCCACGGUAAUACGGAGGGAGCUAGCGUUGUUCGGAAUCACUGGGCGUAAAGCGCACGUAGGCGGCUAUUCAAGUCAGGGGUGAAAGCCCGGGGCUCAACCCCGGAACUGCCUUUGAAACUAGAUAGCUUGAGUCUUGGAGAGGCGAGUGGAAUUCCGAGUGUAGAGGUGAAUUUCGUAGAUAUUCGGAAGAACACCAGUGGCGAAGGCGACUCGCUGGACAAGUAUUGACGCUGAGGUGCGAAAGCGUGGGGAGCAAACAGGAUUAGAUACCCGCGUAGUCCCUGUCUCUUAUAC
RNAcentral lists this ribosomal RNA (301 nucleotides) under uncultured bacterium. RNAcentral's name for it is "partial 16S ribosomal RNA". It matches the Rfam family "Bacterial small subunit ribosomal RNA", at positions 509 to 807 of the family's 1533-position model. The record is from RNAcentral.